CGGGUGAGUAACACGUGGAUAACCUACCUAUAAGACUGGGAUAACUUCGGGAAACCGGAGCUAAUACCGGAUAAUAUUUUGAACCGCAUGGUUCAAAAGUGAAAGACGGUCUUGCUGUCACUUAUAGAUGGAUCCGCGCUGCAUUAGCUAGUUGGUAAGGUAACGGCUUACCAAGGCAACUAUGCAUAGCCGACCUGAGAGGGUGAUCGGCCACACUGGAACUGAGACACGGUCCAGACUCCUACGGGAGGCAGCAGAG
Molecule: ribosomal RNA, 259 nt
Filed under: uncultured Staphylococcus sp.
Lineage: Bacteria; Bacillati; Bacillota; Bacilli; Caryophanales; Staphylococcaceae
Description: partial 16S ribosomal RNA
Rfam family: Bacterial small subunit ribosomal RNA
Source: RNAcentral